ACCAGACUCCUACGGGAGGCAGCAGUGGGGGAUAUUGCACAAUGGGGGGAACCCUGAUGCAGCGACGCCGCGUGGGUGAAGAAGCGCCUCGGCGCGUAAAGCCCUGUCAGCAGGGAAGAAAAUGACGGUACCUGAAGAAGAAGCCCCGGCUAACUACGUGCCAGCAGCCGCGGUAAUACGUAGGGGGCAAGCGUUAUCCGGAUUUACUGGGUGUAAAGGGGGCGCAGACGGCGAUGCAAGCCAGGAGUGAAAGCCCGGGGCCCAACCCCGGGACUGCUCUUGGAACUGCGUGGCUGGAGUGCAGGAGGGGCAGGCGGAAUUCCUGGUGUAGCGGUGAAAUGCGUAGAUAUCAGGAGGAACACCGGUGGCGAAGGCGGCCUGCUGGACUGCAACUGACGUUGAGGCUCGAAAGCGUGGGGAGCAAACAGGAUUAGAUACCCCUGUACA
RNAcentral lists this ribosomal RNA (447 nucleotides) under uncultured bacterium. RNAcentral's name for it is "bacterial SSU rRNA". It matches the Rfam family "Bacterial small subunit ribosomal RNA", at positions 330 to 794 of the family's 1533-position model. The record is from RNAcentral.